Molecule: transfer-messenger RNA, 372 nt
Filed under: Eubacteriales
Lineage: Bacteria; Bacillati; Bacillota; Clostridia
Also listed under: 1 other name
Description: UBA11512 sp017935195 Standard tmRNA
Rfam family: transfer-messenger RNA
About the family: Bacterial tmRNA, also known as 10Sa RNA or SsrA, is named for its dual tRNA and mRNA-like properties. Its role is to liberate the mRNA from a stalled ribosome. To accomplish this part of the tmRNA is used as a reading frame that ends in a translation stop signal.
Source: RNAcentral
GGGCCCGUAAUGGUUUCGACGGGGAUUUUGAGGCGUGAUAAGCGUGGCGGGUCGAGCAAUCCCGAAAAAGGCUCAACUUAAAAUUAAACGCUAACAAUAAUAGAGUAGCUCUGGCUGCCUAAUUAGGCAGUGCUGCGGCCAUAAGUGCCGCCCGUUCCUUGGUUGAGUAUCGCGGCUUCCAACGAGCGUCAAAUCAGCGGUGAACGUGCAUCGGCCUUUCGUCCUUGAGCCGAUCACGCACAAAAGGGCUGCCCCAAGAACGAGCCUGUCCGUCGGCGCGUUUGCGGGGGAGAAUCAAAAGACGAACUGCCCACGGAGAAGGUCACGUCAAGAGGUUUUCGGACAGGGGUUCGACUCCCCUCGGGUCCACCA